CCCAGUUCGGACUGUAGUCUGCAACCCGACUACACGAAGCUGGAAUCGCUAGUAAUCGCGGAUCAGCAUGCCGCGGUGAAUACGUUCCCGGGUCUUGUACACACCGCCCGUCACACCAUGGGAGCCGGAAAUGCCCGAAGUCUGUGACCGAACCGAAAGGAAGGAGCAGCCGAAGGCAGGUCGGAUGACUGGGGUGAAGUCGUAACAAGGUAAC
This 214-nucleotide ribosomal RNA is filed under the name uncultured bacterium. RNAcentral's name for it is "partial 16S ribosomal RNA". It matches the Rfam family "Bacterial small subunit ribosomal RNA", at positions 1287 to 1500 of the family's 1533-position model. The record is from RNAcentral.